This 496-nucleotide ribosomal RNA is filed under the name uncultured bacterium. RNAcentral's name for it is "partial 16S ribosomal RNA". It matches the Rfam family "Bacterial small subunit ribosomal RNA", at positions 29 to 507 of the family's 1533-position model. The record is from RNAcentral.
AUGAACGCUGGCGGCGUGCCUAAUACCUGCAAGUCGAGCGAACAGAUGAGGAGCUUGCUCCUCUGACGUUAGCGGCGGACGGGUGAGUAACACGUGGAUAACCUACCUAUAAGACUGGGAUAACUUCGGGAAACCGGAGCUAAUACCGGAUAAUAUAUUGAACCGCAUGGUUCAAUAGUGAAAGACGGUUUUGCUGUUACUUAUAGAUGGAUCCGCGCCGCAUUAGCUAGUUGGUAAGGUAACAGCUUACCAAGGCAACGAUGCGUAGCCGACCUGAGAGGGUGAUCGGCCACACUGGAACUGAGACACGGUCCAGACUCCUACGGGAGGCAGCAGUAGGGAAUCUUCCGCAAUGGGCGAAAGCCUGACGGAGCAACGCCGCGUGAGUGAUGAAGGUCUUCGGAUCGUAAAACUCUGUUAUUAGGGAAGAACAAAUGUGUAAGUAACUAUGCACGUCUUGACGGUACCUAAUCAGAAAGCCACGGCUAACUACGUG